UAACCUCCAUCUACGCGUAACCUUGCCCUUGAUGCCACUGUUAGGGAACGCGACAAAAAACAAAAAAAAUCGAUACUGUGAGCACGCCCAUGAUCACUAUGGAGACUGCAUACAAGGUUCGAUCUUUUCGUUACCGACUCAUUGUGCAACGGAAGUAGAGUGGAUGAUGUUUGGCGGUGCACAUCCCCGAAGCUAGGAUUUACAACCUCCCAACUGCGAGGAUGUACUCCCUCGUCUGCCCCUCGGAGAGCCCUUCGGGAGGCGGUCGGACAGUUCCUCGAACGGUCUCUCGGAUAGCCCUUCAAGAGGACCAUCGAAAACCGAACGGUCACUCGCACAGCCCUUCGGGAGGACCCUCGAAACUCGGUCAGGUACUUGGACAACCCUUCGGGAGGUACUCACGAACUAAGACCGAAACCACGAUCUCUCUACAGAGUUGCACACAUACGGUGUCAUCUAUCCGGCAGGGCUCCGCCGUCGAGAACUAGUUCCUGCCGGAACUCACACAACCUUUCAUAUCUACGAAACUAUUUCGCUCGGAGGGAGAGAGGAAGCCAGAUCAUGCAUUACAUAUGUAU
RNAcentral lists this long non-coding RNA (578 nucleotides) under Hordeum vulgare. Its description in RNAcentral is "long non-coding RNA (HVUL_LNC015123)". Lineage: Eukaryota; Viridiplantae; Streptophyta; Magnoliopsida; Poales; Poaceae. The record is from RNAcentral.